AGUUUGAUCAUGGCUCAGGAUGAACGCUAGCGGCAGGCUUAAUACAUGCAAGUCGAGGGGCAGCAUGACUGUAGCAAUACAGUUGAUGGCGACCGGCAAACGGGUGCGGAACACGUACAGAACCUUCCUUCGAGCGAGGAAUAGCCCAGGGAAAUUUGGAUUAAUACCUCAUAGUAUUAUGGAGUGGCAUCACUUUAUAAUUAAAGAUUUAUCACUUGAAGAUGGCUGUGCGACUGAUUAGGUAGUUGGCGGGGUAACGGCCCACCAAGCCUACGAUCAGUAACUGGUGUGAGAGCACGACCAGUCACACGGGCACUGAGACACGGGCCCGACUCCUACGGGAGGCAGCAGUAAGGAAUAUUGGUCAAUGGACGAAAGUCUGAACCAGCCAUGCCGCGUGGAGGAUGAAGGUCCUCUGGAUUGUAAACUUCUUUUAUCUGGGAAGAAACCCACGGUUUCUACUGUGGUUGACGGUACCAGAUGAAUAAGCACCGGCUAACUCCGUGCCAGCAGCCGCGGUAAUACGGAGGGUGCAAGCGUUAUCCGGAUUCACUGGGUUUAAAGGGUGCGUAGGUGGGCAGGUAAGUCAGUGGUGAAAUCUCCGGGCUUAACCCGGAAACUGCCAUUGAUACUAUUUGUCUUGA
Molecule: ribosomal RNA, 644 nt
Filed under: uncultured bacterium
Lineage: Bacteria
Description: bacterial SSU rRNA
Rfam family: Bacterial small subunit ribosomal RNA
Source: RNAcentral